GCCAGGCGUGGUGGUGCAUGCCUUUAGUCCCAGCUACUUGGGAGGCUGAGGCAGGAGGAUCCCUUGAGCCCGGGAGGCAGAGGCUGCAGUGAGCUGAGAUCAUACCACUGCACUCCAGCCUGGGCGACACAGGGAGACCCUGUCUCAG
Molecule: non-coding RNA, 148 nt
Filed under: Nomascus leucogenys (northern white-cheeked gibbon)
Lineage: Eukaryota; Metazoa; Chordata; Mammalia; Primates; Hylobatidae
Source: Rfam by way of RNAcentral